GAUGAACGCUGGCGGCGUGCCUAAUACAUGCAAGUCGAGCGAACAGACGAGGAGCUUGCUCCUCUGACGUUAGCGGCGGACGGGUGAGUAACACGUGGAUAACCUACCUAUAAGACUGGGAUAACUUCGGGAAACCGGAGCUAAUACCGGAUAAUAUAUUGAACCGCAUGGUUCAAUAGUGAAAGACGGUUUUGCUGUCACUUAUAGAUGGAUCCGCGCCGCAUUAGCUAGUUGGUAAGGUAACGGCUUACCAAGGCAACGAUGCGUAGCCGACCUGAGAGGGUGAUCGGCCACACUGGAACUGAGACACGGUCCAGACGCUUACGGGAGGCAGCAGUAGGGAAUCUUCCGCAAUGGGCGAAAGCCUGACGGAGCAACGCCGCGUGAGUGAUGAGGUCUUCGGAUCGUAAAACUCUGUUAUUAGGGAAGAACAAAUGUGUAAGUAACUAUGCACGUCUUGACGGUACCUAAUCAGAAAGCCACGGCUAACUACGUG
Molecule: ribosomal RNA, 496 nt
Filed under: uncultured bacterium
Lineage: Bacteria
Description: partial 16S ribosomal RNA
Rfam family: Bacterial small subunit ribosomal RNA
Source: RNAcentral